AUGAUAUGCUUCAAUUGUGGAGGCCGUGGUCACUAUGUGGGGAACUGUGUGAAGCCAAAAGCAUGUUUCAUAUGCCAGCAGAACCAUAAUGUCAAUAGUUGUGCAGUGUGGUCCAAAGUUCAUCCCGCUGCUGCUUUCUUUGGUAGUGGGGAAAGAGGGCUUGGUUUCUACCAUGUGGAUUGCCCUGUUGCCAAUGAGUCAAAAUGGUUGAAUUUUCAGAACUGUGUUGUGGUUAACAUUUUGAAAGGUGAAGUGGAUUACUAUAAGUUGAUGGAACUCCUGACUGCAAUAUGUUGCAAGACUAGACAAUGGCCUUGGCAGAUCAGAGGGUUAUCUAGCAAGACCUUCUUGGUUAGAUUUCCCCCUUGGAAGAAAGUUGAGGACCUUAUUGAGCUGCCUGGUUUCUCUUUACCACAGGAAGUGAAUGUUACUUUGACUGAAUGGAAGGGUGGAUGUGACCCUUUUGGGGAAUUGAUCGAAGCUUGGGUUCUGAUUGAGGGAAUUCCUCCUAAAUGGUGUACAUGGAAAGUAUUUGCUCAGAUUGCUUCUCUCUUUGGGGUUCUUACUGAUGUAGAUUGGAAUGGCAUGUUUAGAACCUUUUUUGAGAAUGUCAGGAUAAAAAAUGCUUGUAGAGAUCCUACCAAGAUUCCUUUUGAGAGGCUGAUUGAGAUGAAGAAGAAACUUUUCCUAUUAGGCUUUACUGUUGAAGGUUUUGAAUAGAUUGGGGGAGCAGACUCUGUUAUUGAUGUGGAGGAUGGUGAGGAUGAAGGAGAAGGAAUUGAAGAAGAUCAAACAGCAGAGGCAGUGGGGCCCAUGGAGAACAUGCAUCUAAUGGGUCUGGGGAUGGGGGUCUGGCCAUUGAUGAGAUAG
RNAcentral lists this ribosomal RNA (870 nucleotides) under Triticum aestivum (bread wheat). RNAcentral describes it as "partial small subunit ribosomal RNA". The record is from RNAcentral. Lineage: Eukaryota; Viridiplantae; Streptophyta; Magnoliopsida; Poales; Poaceae.